UUGGGGAAGCCAAAGCUUCGGGAAAAGCUUAAGAACAAAGUCUAGCUUAUUUUCAUUAGGGUAAAGGCUCAAAUAUGCCAUUAAACUAUCAGAAAUGGCUCAUUUAUGCCAAUAAAAGUUUGGAUCGGUUAUGCCACCACCGUUAUAAAACAGGUUCAUCCAUGCCAUUACUUGUUAAUGAUGGUUUUUCAAAAAUAGCUUUGCCA
This 206-nucleotide long non-coding RNA is filed under the name Capsicum annuum. RNAcentral's name for it is "long non-coding RNA (CANN_LNC010227)". Lineage: Eukaryota; Viridiplantae; Streptophyta; Magnoliopsida; Solanales; Solanaceae. The record is from RNAcentral.